Non-coding RNA from Chelonoidis abingdonii (Abingdon island giant tortoise), 114 nucleotides. NCBI's taxonomy places the organism in Eukaryota, Metazoa, Chordata, Testudines, Testudinidae. The record is from RefSeq and is a predicted model, not a curated record.
CUCAGCCACGUCUUAUAUAACAGUAUAACACCUCCUUAUCUUUGCUGGAAAUCUCACCUGAAUGCAUCCUAAAACCGACAUUAGCUUUUUUAAAUUGGCCAUAUCACAUUGGCA